AGUCAACAUGCCCAGGGGACGUGGAUAACCUCGGGAAACUGAGGAUAAACCGCGAUAGGUCACUACUUCUGGAAUGGGUAAUGACUUAAACCUAUAUGGCCCCUGGAUUGGACUGCGGCCGAUCAGGCUGUUGGUGAGGUAAUGGCCCACCAAACCUGUAACCGGUACGGGCUCUGAGAGGAGGAGCCCGGAGAUGGGCACUGAGACAAGGGCCCAGGCCCUAUGGGGCGCAGCAGGCGCGAAACCUCUGCAAUAGGCGAAAGCCUGACAGGGUUAUUCUGAGUGAUUUCCGCUAAGGAAAUCUUUUGGCACCUCUAAAAAUGGUGCAGAAUAAGGGGUGGGCAAGCCUGGUGUCAGCCGCCGCGGUAAUACCAGCACCCCGAGUGGUCGGGACGAUUAUUGGGCCUAAAGCAUCCGUAGCCUGUUCUGCAAGUCCUCCGUUAAAUCCACCUGCUCAACGGAUGGGCUGCGGAGGAUACCGCAGAGCUAGGAGGCGGGAGAGGCAAACGGUACUCAGUGGGUAGGGGUAAAAUCCAUUGAUCUACUGAAGACCACCAGUGGCGAAGGCGGUUUGCCAGAACGCGCUCGACGGUGAGGGAUGAAAGCUGGGGGAGCAAACCGGAUUAGAUACCCGGGUAGUCCCAGCUGUAAACGAUGCAGACUCGGUGAUGGGUUGGCCUCGAGCCAACUCAGUGCCGCAGGGAAGCCGUUAAGUCUGCCGCCUGGGGAGUACGGUCGCAAGACUGAAACUUAA
This 754-nucleotide ribosomal RNA is filed under the name uncultured archaeon. RNAcentral describes it as "bacterial SSU rRNA". It matches the Rfam family "Archaeal small subunit ribosomal RNA", at positions 102 to 859 of the family's 1478-position model. The record is from RNAcentral.